Long non-coding RNA from Carassius carassius (crucian carp), 1503 nucleotides. RefSeq lists it as uncharacterized. The transcript is spliced from 3 exons. NCBI's taxonomy places the organism in Eukaryota, Metazoa, Chordata, Actinopteri, Cypriniformes, Cyprinidae. The record is from RefSeq and is a predicted model, not a curated record.
UGCCUGCUGUGGAUGUCCUGAGCUUUGUUUUUGUGUUGGCUCCCGGUUUGACUGAACUACAGCAGUCAUGUGCACCACCAUCAUGGUCCUGAGCACCAUCGCUCUCCUGCUGCGACAGAUGUUCAUCAACCGCGUCAAACCACAGACAGAUGUGAACGGGACAAAGGAAAAGCCGCAUGAGAACGAUGCAACAGCUUCAGAAAAAUAAUAAUAAGAGACAUCAUUUAUCCAGCUGAAACUGUGAGCACAGAAAGAAACUCAGUCCAGCCAGGGAGGAUCUUCUCAGGGACACUUUCACAAAGUUAACGCUCAUCCUGAAAUAUUUAAGAGCAUUGUCAGAUUGAGUACAAGACGCAUGCAGCGCACACAAAAGAGAGAAUUCAGAGAGAGGAAAAGGGUUUUGUGUGACUCCACUGGACGACUCCAUUUCCAACACAGCGAGGAUUGUUUGAACUGGACACAGGAGGAAUAAUAGCAUCUGUGAAAAAGUGCUUUCAGGACAGGAUGCCAUGAACUUGCCUGUAAGUGCUGUCCGUGAACACAGAUGCAGCGCCCUGUAAAUCAUUCAUACACAACACCCGGCCAUCAGCCGCUCGCAGGACUGGACCAGCAGACCCCUUCCUCAUCCCCAACACCAUCUCCAUCCAGAAAUGUUAUUAACUGACACGAGAGAAGGAAAGAGUAUGUCACUGGAAGAGUUUUAAAUGAGUAAUAGAGGCUCGUCUGAUGAGCUCCUCGCUGGAGGAGGCAGUUCAGUGCAUGAAACAUUGAUGCCUUCACAUGUCAGCUCUCUCUGUGGAUGUGCUCUUUGGACACAAGGCUUAUGCCUCAGAGUUCCUGAUUAUUUGUGGUUGAAGAUCUGACCAGCUCAAACUCCCCUGAGAGAGAAUCAGAGAACACAGCUCAACUCGAGAGGGAAACUCAAACCACACCGUCCCGCUCCAAACAUCUGCUCUACAUGUGCUCCUGCAUUCAAUCCCAGGUGUCUUCCAAGAGCCCGAAGAGAAACCUCCGAUUCUACAGACCUACACGAGACGCAAAUAAAGUUUCAAUCUCCCAUGUGUUUAUGAUCUCAAACAAGGAAACAUCUUGUAGAGUCCAUAAACACACAGAUGGAGGUCCAGGAGAUGAUUAGGGUCUGGAUGAAAAAAAGAAAAGAAAAAAGAGUCCAUUAAGUCAACAAUAAAGGCAUAGAUAAAAUCAUUAAUAGAGCACUAUUAGAUAUUUGAUAAACUAUUAAUAUAUAGUAAAACGAUAUAGUAAAGUGAAAAAUGCUUCCUGUAAAUAAUUAAGCUCAGACCCUGAUACCAACAUUUGUAAGACAAAAUGAUUAAACACAUAUUGUUCUUUAAGAAUAUAAACAUAAGAUUGCAAAACUGCAAAGCAACUUUUGAUCCUGAACUUGUGAUUCAUAAUUCAUUUAGGCCAAAUUUGCAUGUGUAUUCUGCCAUGUUCUAAAAUGUGUACUCUUUUGGUGGAAUGUGAAAACUGUUUAUUUGAAAC